UGGCGAACGGGGUGAGUAACACGUGGGCAACCUGCCCAAAAGAGGGGGAGUAACACUUGGAAACAGGUGCUAAUACCGCAUAACCAUAGUUACCGCAUGGUAACUAUGUAAAAGGUGGCUAUACUACCGCUUUUGGAUGGGCCCGCGGCGCAUUAGCUAGUUGGUAGGGUAAAGGCUUACCAAGGCAAUGAUGCGUAGCCGAAUUGAGAGGUUGAUCGGCCACAUUGGGACUGAGACACGGCCCAAACUCCUACGGGAGGCAGCAG
Molecule: ribosomal RNA, 266 nt
Filed under: uncultured bacterium
Lineage: Bacteria
Description: partial 16S ribosomal RNA
Rfam family: Bacterial small subunit ribosomal RNA
Source: RNAcentral